UACGGGAGGUACGAGCGUUAAUCGGAAUUACUGGGCGUAAAGGGUCCGUAGGUGGCUAUAUAAGUCAGGUGUGAAAUCCCUAGGCUCAACCUAGGAACUGCAUCUGAUACUGUUUAGCUAGAGUUAGGUAGAGGAUUGAGGAAUUUCCGGUGUAGCGGUGAAAUGCGUAGAUAUCGGAAGGAACACCAAUGGCGAAGGCAACAAUCUGGACCUAAACUGACACUGAGGGACGAAAGCAUGGGUAGCAAACAGG
Molecule: ribosomal RNA, 253 nt
Filed under: uncultured bacterium
Lineage: Bacteria
Description: partial 16S ribosomal RNA
Rfam family: Bacterial small subunit ribosomal RNA
Source: RNAcentral